GUCUUUUUGUUUUAAAUAUAAAGUUUAACCUGCCCAUUGAAUAAUUUUAAAAGGCUGCGGUAUUUUGACCGUACAAAGGUAGCAUAGUCAUUAGUUUUUUAAUUGAAAACUUGUAUGAAUGGUUGAAUGAAAAAUUAACUUUUUUAAAAAAAAAAUUGAAUUUUACUUUUUAAUUAAAAGGUUAAAAUUUAUUUAAAAGACGAGAAGACCCUAUAGAGUUUAAUAAAUAAAAAUAUAUUUUUUAAAAAGUUUAUUAUAAAUUUUAUAUUUUUAUAUAUUUUGUUGGGGUGACAAUAAAAUUUAAUUAACUUUUAUUAAUAAAUUACAUUAAUAUAUGAUUUUUUGAUCCAAUUAUAUUGAUUAAAAAUUUAAAUUACCUUAGGGAUAACAGCGUAAUUUUUUUUUAAGUUCAUAUUAAUAAAAAAUUUUGCGACCUCGAUGUUGGAUUAAGAUUUAAUUUUAGGUGCAGCAGUUUAAAAUUUAAGUCUGUUCGACUUUUAAAUUCUU
This 507-nucleotide ribosomal RNA is filed under the name Claustropyga abblanda. Its description in RNAcentral is "partial small subunit ribosomal RNA". The record is from RNAcentral. Lineage: Eukaryota; Metazoa; Arthropoda; Insecta; Diptera; Sciaridae.